This 477-nucleotide long non-coding RNA is filed under the name Homo sapiens (human). Its description in RNAcentral is "HSALNT0148130". Lineage: Eukaryota; Metazoa; Chordata; Mammalia; Primates; Hominidae. The record is from RNAcentral.
AGUGCUGUGUGCCAGACACUAUUCCCAGUGCUUCAGGGAUAUCAUCUUGUUGAUUCUCUUCAACAAUCCUUUGAGGCCAGCUUUGGACUAAGAAGAAUGAAGUGGUGAUUCCCAGCAAAUUGUGAAUCCUAAGGGAAGAAGGAUGGAGUCAUAGUACAUUUCAGAAGAGCUCUAUGUGGUCUGGGCUGCAAAUGAAAAGAGAACACAGAGUCCCCAACGACCAUAAGAACCUUUAAGGUUUCCACUACGGUUUCCUGAAGAUAUGAACAUUUGAGUCACUGGAAAGUAACACAUCUCUCUGAAGAUCAGUGAAGUGGCUUUCUGGUUUAUAUAUCAGCCUCCUGGCUGUGGUGGAAUUAAUCUUAAAAUGCACACUCACCAGAUCUCUAAUCCCAUUUCUCAAUUUUGGGAGACUGAGAAAAGGGAGGCAUAUGAGUUUGGGCUGCCAUAUUGAUCCAAGCUGCAAGUUCAUUUUUC